CAAGGCGACGAUGCGUAGGGGUUCUGAGAGGAAGGUCCCCCACACUGGUACUGAGACACGGACCAGACUCCUACGGGAGGCAGCAGUGAGGAAUAUUGGUCAAUGGGCGGGAGCCUGAACCAGCCAAGUCGCGUGAGGGAAGACGGUCCUAUGGAUUGUAAACCUCUUUAGGCGGGGAGCAAUGCCGGGCACGCGUGCCCGGAGGGAGAGUACCCGCAGAAUAAGCAUCGGCUAACUCCGUGCCAGCAGCCGCGGUAAUACGGAGGAUGCGAGCGUUAUCCGGAUUUAUUGGGUUUAAAGGGUGCGUAGGCGGAUUUUUAAGUCAGCGGUAAAAUGUCCGGGCUCAACCCGGGCCGGCCGUUGAAACUGGGGAUCUUGAGUGGGCGAGAAGUAUGCGGAAUGCGUGGUGUAGCGGUGAAAUGCAUAGAUAUCACGCAGAACUCCGAUUGCGAAGGCAGCAUACCGGCGCCCGACUGACGCUGAGGCACGAAAGCGUGGGGAUCGAACAGGAUUAGAUACCCUGGUAGUCCACGCAGUAAACGAUGAAUGCUAGUUGUCCGGUUCUUUGGGACUGG
RNAcentral lists this ribosomal RNA (575 nucleotides) under uncultured bacterium. RNAcentral's name for it is "bacterial SSU rRNA". It matches the Rfam family "Bacterial small subunit ribosomal RNA", at positions 269 to 842 of the family's 1533-position model. The record is from RNAcentral.